UACCACCUAUAAUCGUUUUAAUCGAUGGGGGGACGCAGUAGGAUAGGCGAAGCGUGCGAUUGGAUUGCACGUCUAAGCAGUAAGGCUGAGUAUUAGGCAAAUCCGGUACUCAUUAAGGCUGAGCUGUGAUGGGGAGAAGACAUUGUGUCUUCGAGUCGUUGAUUUCACACUGCCGAGAAAAGCCUCUAGAUAGAAAAUAGGUGCCCGUACCGCAAACCGACAC
This 223-nucleotide ribosomal RNA is filed under the name Staphylococcus aureus. RNAcentral describes it as "partial 23S ribosomal RNA". It matches the Rfam family "Bacterial large subunit ribosomal RNA", at positions 1442 to 1660 of the family's 2925-position model. The record is from RNAcentral. Lineage: Bacteria; Bacillati; Bacillota; Bacilli; Caryophanales; Staphylococcaceae.